Ilyonectria robusta is the source of this 125-nucleotide non-coding RNA. Lineage: Eukaryota; Fungi; Ascomycota; Sordariomycetes; Hypocreales; Nectriaceae. The record is from the annotation of a RefSeq genome assembly.
GGUCGCGUGGCCCAAUGGGUAAGCAACCUCACUCUUCAAUAUUACAGAGCAAUAACUAAUAAUUAAUUCAGCAAGGCGUCUGACUACGAAUCAGGAGAUCGUGGGUUCGAGCCCCACCGUGACCU